CUUCACUCAGACUAGACUGCUCCGUAAACACAGCAAGGGAACGAGUAAUCGUGGCGGCGGGAGUAGUACCCGACUAGUAGUACCGUAGUAGUAGGAGUAGUAGGAGUAUUGGUAGUAGCAGUGGUAGUAGCGUCCACAACAACGGUAACUUAAGACGCCCGCUUCCUGGUUCUGUUGAAUGAACUCUUGGCUUCCCCUCUCUCUCUCUCUCUCUCUCUCUCUCUCUCUCUCUCUCCCCCCCUCUCUCUCUCUCUCUCUCUCUCUCUCUC
Gadus macrocephalus (Pacific cod) is the source of this 269-nucleotide long non-coding RNA. RefSeq lists it as uncharacterized. The record is from RefSeq and is a predicted model, not a curated record. The transcript is spliced from 2 exons. NCBI's taxonomy places the organism in Eukaryota, Metazoa, Chordata, Actinopteri, Gadiformes, Gadidae.